This 549-nucleotide ribosomal RNA is filed under the name uncultured bacterium. RNAcentral describes it as "bacterial SSU rRNA". It matches the Rfam family "Bacterial small subunit ribosomal RNA", at positions 356 to 896 of the family's 1533-position model. The record is from RNAcentral.
AGGGAAUCUUCGGCAAUGGACGGAAGUCUGACCGAGCAACGCCGCGUGAGUGAAGAAGGUUUUCGGAUCGUAAAGCUCUGUUGUAAGAGAAGAACGAGUGUGAGAGUGGAAAGUUCACACUGUGACGGUAUCUUACCAGAAAGGGACGGCUAACUACGUGCCAGCAGCCGCGGUAAUACGUAGGUCCCGAGCGUUGUCCGGAUUUAUUGGGCGUAAAGCGAGCGCAGGCGGUUAGAUAAGUCUGAAGUUAAAGGCUGUGGCUUAACCAUAGUACGCUUUGGAAACUGUUUAACUUGAGUGCAAGAGGGGAGAGUGGAAUUCCAUGUGUAGCGGUGAGAUGCGUAGAUAUAUGGAGGAACACCGGUGGCGAAAGCGGCUCUCUGGCUUGUAACUGACGCUGAGGCUCGAAAGCGUGGGGAGCAAACAGGAUUAGAUACCCUGGUAGUCCACGCCGUAAACGAUGAGUGCUAGGUGUUAGACCCUUUCCGGGGUUUAGUGCCGUAGCUAACGCAUUAAGCACUCCGCCUGGGGAGUACGACCGCAAGGUUG